CCUACGGGAGGCAGCAGUGGGGAAUAUUGCACAAUGGGCGCAAGCCUGAUGCAGCCAUGCCGCGUGUGUGAAGAAGGCCUUCGGGUUGUAAAGCACUUUCAGCGGGGAGGAAGGCGUUGAGGUUAAUAACCUUGGCGAUUGACGUUACCCGCAGAAGAAGCACCGGCUAACUCCGUGCCAGCAGCCGCGGUAAU
RNAcentral lists this ribosomal RNA (194 nucleotides) under uncultured bacterium. RNAcentral describes it as "partial 16S ribosomal RNA". It matches the Rfam family "Bacterial small subunit ribosomal RNA", at positions 338 to 524 of the family's 1533-position model. The record is from RNAcentral.